AGCGAACGCUGGCGGUAGGCCUAACACAUGCAAGUCGAACGCCAGCACAGUAAGAGCUUGCUCUUACGGGUGGCGAGUGGCGGACGGGUGAGGAAUACAUCGGAAUCUACUUUUUCGUGGGGGAUAACGUAGGGAAACUUACGCUAAUACCGCAUACGACCUACGGGUGAAAGCAGGGGAUCUUCGUACCUUGCGCGAUUGAAUGAGCCGAUGUCGGAUUAGCUAGUUGGCGGGGUAAAGGCCCACCAAGGCGACGAUCCGUAGCUGGUCUGAGAGGAUGAUCAGCCACACUGGAACUGAGACACGGUCCAGACUCCUACGGGAGGAAGCAGUGGGGAAUAUUGGACAAUGGGCGCAAGCCGAAUCCAGCCAUACCGCGUGGGUGAAGAAGGCCUUCGGGUUGUAAAGCCCUUUUGUUGGGAAAGAAGAGCAGCAGGUUAAUACCCCGCUGUUCUGACGGUACCCAAAGAAUAAGCACCGGCUAACUUCGUG
Molecule: ribosomal RNA, 492 nt
Filed under: uncultured bacterium
Lineage: Bacteria
Description: partial 16S ribosomal RNA
Rfam family: Bacterial small subunit ribosomal RNA
Source: RNAcentral